This 119-nucleotide ribosomal RNA is filed under the name Schistocerca americana (American grasshopper). Lineage: Eukaryota; Metazoa; Arthropoda; Insecta; Orthoptera; Acrididae. The record is from RNAcentral.
GCCAACGGCCAUGCCAUGUUGAGUACACCGGUUCUCGUCCGAUCACCAAAGAUAAGCAACAUCGGGCGUGGUUAGUACUUGGAUCGGUGACCACCUGGGAACACCACGUGCUGUUGGCU